CCACCAUGGUGGGUGGGUGCGUGGGGGGCAAGGGAGCUUGCUUGAAAAGACACGAGACAUUAGGGAAACUUAAUGCCAAAGCAGCUAAGGAGCCCAUCCCCUUUUGCUUGAUUCUUGAACCUUCCCUAAGCGAAGUGCCACUGCGGUCGGACAGAGAGAGCUCUUUCAGAUCAGAUAACAAGUUACAGAUUCCCAAAGUCUGCCCUCCAAUGAAGAUCAUAAGUAACUGGAAGAACAGGGAUGCGCCUUAUAACUUAGAAGGAGACCAUAUCUUACCGUCCGUAUUCACCUAAUCCGGUUCUCAG
This 305-nucleotide long non-coding RNA is filed under the name Phascolarctos cinereus (koala). Its description in RNAcentral is "lncRNA (ENSPCIG00000034936.1)". Lineage: Eukaryota; Metazoa; Chordata; Mammalia; Diprotodontia; Phascolarctidae. The record is from RNAcentral.